Molecule: ribosomal RNA, 253 nt
Filed under: uncultured bacterium
Lineage: Bacteria
Description: partial 16S ribosomal RNA
Rfam family: Bacterial small subunit ribosomal RNA
Source: RNAcentral
UACGGAGGGCGCAAGCGUUGUUCGGAAUCAUUGGGCGUAAAGCGCGUGUAGGCGGCUUGGCAAGUCGGGUGUGAAAUCCCGAGGCUCAACCUCGGAACUGCAUUCGAAACUGCCUCGCUCGAGUCCCGGAGAGGGUGGCGGAAUUCCCGGUGUAGCGGUGAAAUGCGUAGAUACCGGGAGGAACACCAGUGGCGAAGGCGGCCACCUGGACGGUGACUGACGCUGAGACGCGAAAGCGUGGGGAGCAAACAGG